AGACCGCAGGAUGACGGCCAGGCUAACGACCUUGCCAGACUCGCGGAGAGGAGGUGCAUGGCCGUCGCCAGCUCGUGUUGUGAAAUGUCCGGUUAAGUCCGGCAACGAGCGAGACCCCCACUUCUAGUUGGUAGCCGUCCCUCCGGGGAUGGCCCACACUAGAAGGACUGCCGGUGUUAAACCGGAGGAAGGAGGGGGCCACGGCAGGUCAGCAUGCCCCGAAACCUCCGGGCCGCACGCGGGUUACAAUGGCAGGGACAGCGGGAUCCGACCCCGAAAGGGGAAGGCAAUCCCACAAACCCUGCCUCAGUUGGGAUCGAGGGCUGAAACUCGCCCUCGUGAACGAGGAAUCCCUAGUAACCGCGGGUCAACAACCCGCGGUGAAUACGUCCCUGCUCCUUGUACACACCGCCCGU
Molecule: ribosomal RNA, 416 nt
Filed under: uncultured Metallosphaera sp.
Lineage: Archaea; Thermoproteati; Thermoproteota; Thermoprotei; Sulfolobales; Sulfolobaceae
Description: bacterial SSU rRNA
Rfam family: Archaeal small subunit ribosomal RNA
Source: RNAcentral